GAUGAACGCUGGCGGUAUGCCUAACACAUGCAAGUCGUACGAGAGUUUUUAACUCUAGUGGCGGACGGGUGAGUAACACGUGAGAAUUUGCCUUUAGGAGGGGACAACAAUUGGAAACGAAUGCUAAUACCCCAUAUGCUUUCGAGUGAAAUGGAUUUUAUCCGCCUAGAGAGAAGCUCGCGGCUGAUUAGCUUGUUGGUAAGGUAAGAGCUUACCAAGGCGACGAUCAGUAUCUGGUUUGAGAGGACGAUCAGACACACUGGAACUGAGACACGGUCCAGACUCCUACGGGAGGCAGCAGUGGGGAAUUUUGGACAAUGGACGCAAGUCUGAUCCAGCCAUUCCGCGUGCAGGAUGAAGGCCCUCGGGUUGUAAACUGCUUUGUACGGAACGAAACGGUCUGCUCUAAUACAGUGGGCUAAUGACGGUACCGUAAGAAUAAGCACCGGCUAACUACGUG
RNAcentral lists this ribosomal RNA (460 nucleotides) under uncultured bacterium. RNAcentral describes it as "bacterial SSU rRNA". It matches the Rfam family "Bacterial small subunit ribosomal RNA", at positions 28 to 507 of the family's 1533-position model. The record is from RNAcentral.